RNAcentral lists this ribosomal RNA (465 nucleotides) under Vreelandella stevensii. RNAcentral describes it as "partial 16S ribosomal RNA". It matches the Rfam family "Bacterial small subunit ribosomal RNA", at positions 338 to 795 of the family's 1533-position model. The record is from RNAcentral. Lineage: Bacteria; Pseudomonadati; Pseudomonadota; Gammaproteobacteria; Oceanospirillales; Halomonadaceae.
CCUACGGGUGGCAGCAGUGGGGAAUAUUGGACAAUGGGCGAAAGCCUGAUCCAGCCAUGCCGUGUGUGUGAAGAAGGCCUUCGGGUUGUAAAGCACUUUCAGUGGGGAAGAAAGCCUUGGGGCUAAUACCCUCGAGGAAGGACAUCACCCACAGAAGAAGCACCGGCUAACUCCGUGCCAGCAGCCGCGGUAAUACGGAGGGUGCGAGCGUUAAUCGGAAUUACUGGGCGUAAAGCGCGCGUAGGCGGUCUGAUAAGCCGGUUGUGAAAGCCCCGGGCUCAACCUGGGAACGGCAUCCGGAACUGUCAGGCUAGAGUGCAGGAGAGGAAGGUAGAAUUCCCGGUGUAGCGGUGAAAUGCGUAGAGAUCGGGAGGAAUACCAGUGGCGAAGGCGGCCUUCUGGACUGACACUGACGCUGAGGUGCGAAAGCGUGGGUAGCAAACAGGAUUAGAUACCCCUGUAGUC